Balaenoptera ricei (Rice's whale) is the source of this 526-nucleotide long non-coding RNA. RefSeq lists it as uncharacterized. Lineage: Eukaryota; Metazoa; Chordata; Mammalia; Artiodactyla; Balaenopteridae. The transcript has 3 exons. The record is from RefSeq and is a predicted model, not a curated record.
GAGUGGACGCACUGCCCGGGACCUUGCCCAGUUGGGACUCUAGAUUGCUGUUUUCGGGACUUCCCAGGGCCGUUCGAGUCUGGAUGCCCAGCUUACAAAGCAGUGUAUCAGAAUUACCUGUGGGGUAAACGAACAAACAGCAGCAGAAGAAGCACCAACAUGGCUGUUCCCAGACAACAGAUAAUGUGAAGGAGAAGGUCAGGAGAAGAAUGAACAGAUUAUCUUCAUGAGCAAGGAAAACUGACUUCCUUUUCUUGAAGGCAAGGCCUCUGCUGCUGGUGACAGGACAUCCAACAACUUCCAGCCCUGGCAUCUGUGCAGGCAGAAACACUCACUGCCAGGUCAGUAAAAGAAGCAGGUUCGUGGGGCUUCCCUGGUGGCGCGGUGGUUGAGAAUCUGCCUGCCAAUGCAGGGGACACGGGUUCAAGCCCUGGUCUGGGAAGAUCCCACAUGCCGCGGGGCAACUGGGCCCGUGAGCCACAACUGCUGAGCCUGCGCGUCUGGAGCCUGUGCUCCGCAACAAGAG